RNAcentral lists this ribosomal RNA (188 nucleotides) under Salmonella enterica subsp. houtenae serovar 50:z4,z23:-. RNAcentral's name for it is "partial 23S ribosomal RNA". It matches the Rfam family "Bacterial large subunit ribosomal RNA", at positions 1 to 180 of the family's 2925-position model. Lineage: Bacteria; Pseudomonadati; Pseudomonadota; Gammaproteobacteria; Enterobacterales; Enterobacteriaceae. The record is from RNAcentral.
GGGUUGUGAGGUUAAGCGACCAAGCGUACACGGUGGAUGCCCUGGCAGUCAGAGGCGAUGAAGGACGUGCUAAUCUGCGAAAAGCGCCGGUAAGGUGAUAUGAACCGUUAUAACCGGCGAUGUCCGAAUGGGGAAACCCAGUGUGACUCGUCACACUAUCAUUAACUGAAUCCAUAGGUUAAUGAGGC